RNAcentral lists this long non-coding RNA (782 nucleotides) under Salvia miltiorrhiza (redroot sage). RNAcentral describes it as "long non-coding RNA (SMIL_LNC008076)". The record is from RNAcentral. Lineage: Eukaryota; Viridiplantae; Streptophyta; Magnoliopsida; Lamiales; Lamiaceae.
UUCAUUCCAUCUCAGACCACAAUUCGUAACAUUUAUUAUGCAAAUACGUAUCUUUAACAAAGACUACACAUUCAAUUCAUUCCACAGAAAUCAUCUCUGAUAUGGAAUAAAAAUCUUUCCAUAUCUAAGAGCAACAUAAUAGGAGUAGAGAGAGAAAGACAAGAUGACCUUUUUACCCUUUGGGCCUUUUAUUUACAAAUCACGAGUGCAAAUCUGAGGAAUCGUCCAAAGACUUAAUUUUAGAUCUGGGUGGUUCCUUUGUGAUAAAUGGACGGAAGGAUUUUGUUCCUAUUUUAUACACUUAAGAGUAUUUUCAUGGUAGCCCACCCAUAUAUAUAUGAGGUGGUCUUGGGGGUGCAAUCGGGUUGAACUCGCACCCAAACCCAGACCCGAAUUCAGAUCCUGAUCCGAACUGUUUAAAUGAUGCUAUUCGGCUACACAAAUGAAACUGCGUAUAAACGAUACUAUAAUAUUGUAAUGACACUGUGUAUAAUUGACACGAUUUGAUUAUACAAAUGACACUAAUCGUAUAAUGACACUAUUCGGUUAUACAAAUGACACUGCCUACAGUUAGGGUGGAAAUCGGGUAUCCCGGUACCCUACCCGCAAAAUGGCAUUGCGUAUAAAUUACAUUAUAACAUUGUAAAUGACACUGUGUAUAACUGACACUAUUCAGUUAUAUAAAUGACACUACCUAUAAUUGAUACUAUUCAGUUAUAGGCAGUGUCAUUUGUAUAAACGGAUAGUAUCAAUUAUAGGCAGUGUCAUUUAUACGAUUUGGG